AUUGGCUUGCAUACCUGAUUACCGAUGCCCUGACAGUUCGCGCUGUUGGGGCAUUUUCU
Molecule: non-coding RNA, 59 nt
Filed under: Yersinia enterocolitica (type O:2) str. YE3094/96
Lineage: Bacteria; Pseudomonadati; Pseudomonadota; Gammaproteobacteria; Enterobacterales; Yersiniaceae
Source: RNAcentral